This 322-nucleotide ribosomal RNA is filed under the name uncultured bacterium. RNAcentral's name for it is "bacterial SSU rRNA". It matches the Rfam family "Bacterial small subunit ribosomal RNA", at positions 150 to 507 of the family's 1533-position model. The record is from RNAcentral.
CCGGAAACGGUGUCUAAUACCGCAUGUGAUCUUCGGAUUAAAGCUUCGGCGCUUUGGGAACGGCCUGCGCAUGAUUAGCUUGUUGGUGAGGUAAAAGCUCACCAAGGCGACAAUCAUUAGCUGGUCUGAGAGGAUGAUCAGCCAGACUGGGACUGAGAACGGCCCAGACUCCUACGGGAGGCAGCAGUAGGGAAUUUUCCACAAUGGACGAAAGUCUGAUGGAGCAACGCCGCGUGCAGGAUGAAGGGUUUCGGCUCGUAGACUGCUUUUAUCUGUGAAGAUUAUGACGGUAGCAGAUGAAUAAGGAUCGGCUAACUCCGUG